AGAGUUUGAUCCUGGCUCAGGAUGAACGCUGGCGGCGUGCCUAAUACAUGCAAGUCGAGCGAACGGACGAGAAGCUUGCUUCUCUGAUGUUAGCGGCGGACGGGGGAGUAACACGUGGAUAACCUACCUAUAAGACUGGGAUAACUUCGGGAAACCGGAGCUAAUACCGGAUAAUAUUUUGAACCGCAUGGUUCAAAAGUGAAAGACGGUCUUGCUGUCACUUAUAGAUGGAUCCGCGCUGCAUUAGCUAGUUGGUAAGGUAACGGCUUACCAAGGCAACGAUGCAUAGCCGACCUGAGAGGGUGAUCGGCCACACUGGAACUGAGACACGGUCCAGACUCCUACGGGAGGCAGCAGUAGGGAAUCUUCCGCAAUGGGCGAAAGCCUGACGGAGCAACGCCGCGUGAGUGAUGAAGGUCUUCGGAUCGUAAAACUCUGUUAUUAGGGAAGAACAUAUGUGUAAGUAACUGUGCACAUCUUGACGGUACCUAAUCAGAAAGCCACGGCUAACUACGUGCCAGCAGCCGCGGUAAUACGUAGGUGGCAAGCGUUAUCCGGAAUUAUUGGGCGUAAAGCGCGCGUAGGCGGUUUUUUAAGUCUGAUGUGAAAGCCCACGGCUCAACCGUGGAGGGUCAUUGGAAACUGGAAAACUUGAGUGCAGAAGAGGAAAGUGGAAUUCCAUGUGUAGCGGUGAAAUGCGCAGAGAUAUGGAGGAACACCAGUGGCGAAGGCGACUUUCUGGUCUGUAACUGACGCUGAUGUGCGAAAGCGUGGGGAUCAAACAGGAUUAGAUACCCUGGUAGUCCACGCCGUAAACGAUGAGUGCUAAGUGUUAGGGGGUUUCCGCCCCUUAGUGCUGCAGCUAACGCAUUAAGCACUCCGCCUGGGGAGUACGACCGCAAGGUUGAAACUCAAAGGAAUUGACGGGGACCCGCACAAGCGGUGGAGCAUGUGGUUUAAUUCGAAGCAACGCGAAGAACCUUACCAAAUCUUGACAUCCUUUGACAACUCUAGAGAUAGAGCCUUCCUCUUCGGGGGACAAAGUGACAGGUGGUGCAUGGUUGUCGUCAGCUCGUGUCGUGAGAUGUUGGGUUAAGUCCCGCAACGAGCGCAACCCUUAAGCUUAGUUGCCAUCAUUAAGUUGGGCACUCUAAGUUGACUGCCGGUGACAAACCGGAGGAAGGUGGGGAUGACGUCAAAUCAUCAUGCCCCUUAUGAUUUGGGCUACACACGUGCUACAAUGGACAAUACAAAGGGCAGCGAAACCGCGAGGUCAAGCAAAUCCCAUAAAGUUGUUCUCAGUUCGGAUUGUAGUCUGCAACUCGACUACAUGAAGCUGGAAUCGCUAGUAAUCGUAGAUCAGCAUGCUACGGUGAAUACGUUCCCGGGUCUUGUACACACCGCCCGUCACACCACGAGAGUUUGUAACACCCGAAGCCGGUGGAGUAACCUUUUAGGAGCUAGCCGUCGAAGGUGGGACAAAUGAUUGGGGUGAAGUCGUAACAAGGUAGCCGUAUCGGAAGGUGCGGCUGGAUCACCU
This 1540-nucleotide ribosomal RNA is filed under the name Staphylococcus aureus M1244. RNAcentral's name for it is "16S ribosomal RNA". It matches the Rfam family "Bacterial small subunit ribosomal RNA". Lineage: Bacteria; Bacillati; Bacillota; Bacilli; Caryophanales; Staphylococcaceae. The record is from RNAcentral.